Molecule: ribosomal RNA, 468 nt
Filed under: uncultured bacterium
Lineage: Bacteria
Description: partial 16S ribosomal RNA
Rfam family: Bacterial small subunit ribosomal RNA
Source: RNAcentral
GACGAACGCUGGCGGCGUGCUUAACACAUGCAAGUCGAACGGAAAGGCCCUGCUUUUGUGGGGUGCUCGAGUGGCGAACGGGUGAGUAACACGUGUGUAACCUGCCCUUGACUUUGGGAUAACUUCAGGAAACUGGGGCUAAUACCGGAUAGGAGCUCCUGCUGCAUGGUGGGGGUUGGAAAGUUUCGGCGGUUGGGGAUGGACUCGCGGCUUAUCAGCUUGUUGGUGGGGUAGUGGCUUACCAAGGCUUUGACGGGUAGCCGGCCUGAGAGGGUGACCGGCCACAUUGGGACUGAGAUACGGCCCAGACUCCUACGGGAGGCAGAAGUGGGGAAUAUUGCACAAUGAGCGGAAGCCUGAUGCAGCAACGCCGCGUGUGGGAUGACGGCCUUCGGGUUGUAAACCGCUUUCGCCUGUGACGAAGCGUGAGUGACGGUAAUGGGUAAAGAAGCACCGGCUAACUACGUG